Molecule: ribosomal RNA, 424 nt
Filed under: uncultured bacterium
Lineage: Bacteria
Description: bacterial SSU rRNA
Rfam family: Bacterial small subunit ribosomal RNA
Source: RNAcentral
UUAGGAAUUUUGGGCAAUGGGCGCAAGCCUGACCCAGCAACGCCGCGUGGGGGACGACGGCCUUCGGGUUGUAAACCCCUUUUCCGGGGGACGAUGGUGACGGUACCUCGGGAAGAAGCCCCGGCUAACUACGUGCCAGCAGCCGCGGUAAUACGUAGGGGGCCAGCGUUGUCCGGAUUCAUUGGGCGUAAAGCGCGCGCAGGCGGCCCGCGACGUCGCUCGUGAAAGCCCCCGGCUCAACCGGGGAGGGACGGGCGAAACGGGCGGGCUGGAGGCCGGUAGGGGGGAGUGGAAUUCCCGGUGUAGUGGUGGAAUGCGUAGAGAUCGGGAGGAACACCAGUGGCGAAGGCGACUCCCUGGGCCGAGCCUGACGCUGAGGCGCGAAAGCGUGGGGAGCGAUCCGGAUUAGAUACCCCCGUAGUCC